Molecule: ribosomal RNA, 641 nt
Filed under: Pseudomonas aeruginosa
Lineage: Bacteria; Pseudomonadati; Pseudomonadota; Gammaproteobacteria; Pseudomonadales; Pseudomonadaceae
Description: partial 23S ribosomal RNA
Rfam family: Bacterial large subunit ribosomal RNA
Source: RNAcentral
AAUGCACAGGCUGUGACCUCGAAGAGUAGGGCGGGACACGUGGUAUCCUGUCUGAAUAUGGGGGGACCAUCCUCCAAGGCUAAAUACUCCUGACUGACCGAUAGUGAACCAGUACCGUGAGGGAAAGGCGAAAAGAACCCCGGCGAGGGGAGUGAAAAAGAACCUGAAACCGUGUACGUACAAGCAGUGGGAGCACCUUCGGGUGUGACUGCGUACCUUUUGUAUAAUGGGUCAGCGACUUAUAUUCUGUAGCAAGGUUAACCGUAUAGGGGAGCCGCAGGGAAACCGAGUCUUAACUGGGCGUUAAGUUGCAGGGUAUAGACCCGAAACCCGGUGAUCUAGCCAUGGGCAGGUUGAAGGUUGGGUAACACUAACUGGAGGACCGAACCGACUAAUGUUGAAAAAUUAGCGGAUGACUUGUGGCUGGGGGUGAAAGGCCAAUCAAACCGGGAGAUAGCUGGUUCUCCCCGAAAGCUAUUUAGGUAGCGCCUCGUGAACUCAUCUUCGGGGGUAGAGCACUGUUUCGGCUAGGGGGUCAUCCCGACUUACCAACCCGAUGCAAACUACGAAUACCGAAGAAUGUUAUCACGGGAGACACACGGCGGGUGCUAACGUCCGUCGUGAAGAGGGAAACAACCCAG